Molecule: ribosomal RNA, 496 nt
Filed under: uncultured bacterium
Lineage: Bacteria
Description: partial 16S ribosomal RNA
Rfam family: Bacterial small subunit ribosomal RNA
Source: RNAcentral
AUGAACGCUGGCGGCGUGCCUAAUACAUGCAAGUCGAGCGAACGGACGAGAAGCUUGCUUCUCUGAUGUUCGCGGCGGACGGGUGAGUAACACGUGGAUAACCUACCUAUAAGACUGGGAUAACUUCGGGAAACCGGAGCUAAUACCGGAUAAUAUUUUGAACCGCAUGGUUCAAAAGUGAAAGACGGUCUUGCUGUCACUUAUAGAUGGAUCCGCGCUGCAUUAGCUAGUUGGUAAGGUAACGGCUUACCAAGGCAACGAUGCAUAGCCGACCUGAGAGGGUGAUCGGCCACACUGGAACUGAGACACGGUCCAGACUCCUACGGGAGGCAGCAGUAGGGAAUCUUCCGCAAUGGGCGAAAGCCUGACGGAGCAACGCCGCGUGAGUGAUGAAGGUCUUCGGAUCGUAAAACUCUGUUAUUAGGGAAGAACAUAUGUGUAAGUAACUGUGCACAUCUUGACGGUACCUAAUCAGAAAGCCACGGCUAACUACGUG